AGUGAACGCUGGCGGUAGGCCUAACACAUGCAAGUCGAACGGCAGCACAGUAAGAGCUUGCUCUUACGGGUGGCGAGUGGCGGACGGGUGAGGAAUACAUCGGAAUCUACUUUUUCCUGGGGGAUAACGUAGGGAAACUUACGCUAAUACCGCAUACGACCUACGGGUGAAAGCAGGGGAUCUCCGGACCUUGCGCGAUUGAAUGAGCCGAUGUCGGAUUAGCUAGUUGGCGGGGUAAAGGCCCACCAAGGCGACGAUCCGUAGCUGGUCUGAGAGGAUGAUCAGCCACACUGGAACUGAGACACGGUCCAGACUCCUACGGGAGGCAGCAGUGGGGAAUAUUGGACAAUGGGCGCAAGCCUGAUCCAGCCAUACCGCGUGGGUGAAGAAGGCCUUCGGGUUGUAAAGCCCUUUUGUUGGGAAAGAAAAGCAGCAGGUUAAUACCCCGCUGUUCUGACGGUACCCAAAGAAUAAGCACCGGCUAACUUCGUG
This 492-nucleotide ribosomal RNA is filed under the name uncultured bacterium. RNAcentral's name for it is "partial 16S ribosomal RNA". It matches the Rfam family "Bacterial small subunit ribosomal RNA", at positions 29 to 507 of the family's 1533-position model. The record is from RNAcentral.